RNAcentral lists this unclassified non-coding RNA (341 nucleotides) under uncultured fungus. RNAcentral describes it as "sequence contains ITS2". The record is from RNAcentral. Lineage: Eukaryota; Fungi.
AACGCAUAUUGCGCUCUUUGGUAUUCCGAAGAGCAUGCUUGUUUGAGUAUCAGUAAACACCUCAAAACUCUUGGUUUUUUCCAGGCGUUUUGGACUUGAGCAAACCCAACACCAUCUCUCACGAUUUGGCGGCGGGUUGCUUGAAAUGCAGGUGCAGCUGGACAUUCUCCUGAGCUAAAAGCAUAUCUAUUUAGUCCCGUCAAACGGAUUAUUACUUUUUGCUGCAGCUAACAUAAAGGGAGUUUUGUCCGUAUUGGCUGACUGAUGCAGGAUUUCACAGAGUCGGAAACGAUUCUGUCAAACUCGAUCUCAAAUCAAGUAAGACUACCCGCUGAACUUAA